GAUUGGUGCUUGCAUCAUGAUUUACAUUUGAGUGAGUGGCGAACUGGUGAGUAACACGUGGGAAACCUGCCCAGAAGCGGGGGAUAACACCUGGAAACAGAUGCUAAUACCGCAUAACAACUUGGACCGCAUGGUCCGAGCUUGAAAGAUGGCUUCGGCUAUCACUUUUGGAUGGUCCCGCGGCGUAUUAGCUAGAUGGUGGGGUAACGGCUCACCAUGGCAAUGAUACGUAGCCGACCUGAGAGGGUAAUCGGCCACAUUGGGACUGAGACACGGCCCAAACUCCUACGGGAGGCAGCAGUAGGGAAUCUUCCACAAUGGACGAAAGUCUGAUGGAGCAACGCCGCGUGAGUGAAGAAGGGUUUCGGCUCGUAAAACUCUGUUGUUAAAGAAGAACAUAUCUGAGAGUAACUGUUCAGGUAUUGACGGUAUUUAACCAGAAAGCCACGGCUAACUACGUGCCAGCAGCCGCGGUAAUACGUAGGUGGCAAGCGUUGUCCGGAUUUAUUGGGCGUAAAGCGAGCGCAGGCGGUUUUUUAAGUCUGAUGUGAAAGCCUUCGGCUCAACCGAAGAAGUGCAUCGGAAACUGGGAAACUUGAGUGCAGAAGAGGACAGUGGAACUCCAUGUGUAGCGGUGAAAUGCGUAGAUAUAUGGAAGAACACCAGUGGCGAAGGCGGCUGUCUGGUCUGUAACUGACGCUGAGGCUCGAAAGUAUGGGUAGCAAACAGGAUUAGAUACCCUGGUAGUCCAUACCGUAAACGAUGAAUGCUAAGUGUUUGGAAGGGUUUCCGCCCUUCAGUGCUGCAGCUAACGCAUUAAGCAUUCCGCCUGGGGGAGUACGGCCGCAAGGCUGAAACUCAAAGGAAUUGACGGGGGCCCGCACAAGCGGUGGAGCAUGUGGUUUAAUUCGAAGCUACGCGAAGAACCUUACCAGGUCUUGACAUACUAUGCAAAUCUAAGAGAUUAGACGUUCCCUUCGGGGACAUGGAUACAGGUGGUGCAUGGUUGUCGUCAGCUCGUGUCGUGAGAUGUUGGGUUAAGUCCCGCAACGAGCGCAACCCUUAUUAUCAGUUGCCAGCAUUAAGUUGGGCACUCUGGUGAGACUGCCGGUGACAAACCGGAGGAAGGUGGGGAUGACGUCAAAUCAUCAUGCCCCUUAUGACCUGGGCUACACACGUGCUACAAUGGAUGGUACAACGAGUUGCGAACUCGCGAGAGUAAGCUAAUCUCUUAAAGCCAUUCUCAGUUCGGAUUGUAGGCUGCAACUCGCCUACAUGAAGUCGGAAUCGCUAGUAAUCGCGGAUCAGCAUGCCGCGGUGAAUACGUUCCCGGGCCUUGUACACACCGCCCGUCACACCAUGAGAGUUUGUAACACCCAAAGUCGGUGGG
This 1390-nucleotide ribosomal RNA is filed under the name Lactiplantibacillus plantarum. Its description in RNAcentral is "bacterial SSU rRNA". It matches the Rfam family "Bacterial small subunit ribosomal RNA", at positions 71 to 1434 of the family's 1533-position model. Lineage: Bacteria; Bacillati; Bacillota; Bacilli; Lactobacillales; Lactobacillaceae. The record is from RNAcentral.